GUGCCAGCAGCCGCGGUAAUACGUAUGGUGCAAGCGUUAUCCGGAUUUACUGGGUGUAAAGGGAGCGCAGGCGGUGCGGCAAGUCUGAUGUGAAAGCCCGGGGCUCAACCCCGGUACUGCAUUGGAAACUGUCGUACUAGAGUGUCGGAGGGGUAAGCGGAAUUCCUAGUGUAGCGGUGAAAUGCGUAGAUAUUAGGAGGAACACCAGUGGCGAAGGCGGCUUACUGGACGAUAACUGACGCUGAGGCUCGAAAGCGUGGGGAGCAAACAGGAUUAGAAACCCCUGUAGUCC
This 292-nucleotide ribosomal RNA is filed under the name uncultured bacterium. RNAcentral's name for it is "partial 16S ribosomal RNA". It matches the Rfam family "Bacterial small subunit ribosomal RNA", at positions 505 to 796 of the family's 1533-position model. The record is from RNAcentral.